GAUGAACGCUGGCGGCGUGCCUAAUACAUGCAAGUCGAGCGAACGGACGAGAAGCUUGCUUCUCUGAUGUUAGCGGCGGACGGGUGAGUAACACGUGGAUAACCUACCUAUAAGACUGGGAUAACUUCGGGAAACCGGAGCUAAUACCGGAUAAUAUUUUGAACCGCAUGGUUCAAAAGUGAAAGACGGUCUUGCUGUCACUUAUAGAUGGAUCCGCGCUGCAUUAGCUAGUUGGUAAGGUAACGGCUUACCAAGGCAACGAUGCAUAGCCGACCUGAGAGGGUGAUCGGCCAAACUGGAACUGAGACACGGUCCAGACUCCUACGGGAGGCAGCAGUAGGGAAUCUUCCGCAAUGGGCGAAAGCCUGACGGAGCAAAGCCGCGUGAGUGAUGAAGGUCUUCGGAUCGUAAAACUCUGUUAUUAGGGAAGAACAUAUGUGUAAGUAACUGUGCACAUCUUGACGGUACCUAAUCAGAAAGCCACGGCUAACUACGUG
This 497-nucleotide ribosomal RNA is filed under the name uncultured bacterium. Its description in RNAcentral is "partial 16S ribosomal RNA". It matches the Rfam family "Bacterial small subunit ribosomal RNA", at positions 28 to 507 of the family's 1533-position model. The record is from RNAcentral.